AGUGAACGCUGGCGGUAGGCCUAACACAUGCAAGUCGAACGGCAGCACAGUAAGAGCUUGCUCUUACGGGUGGCGAGUGGCGGACGGGUGAGGAAUACAUCGGAAUCUACUUUUUCGUGGGGGAUAACGUAGGGAAACUUACGCUAAUACCGCAUACGACCUUCGGGUGAAAGCAGGGGAUCUUCGGACCUUGCGCGAUUGAAUGAGCCGAUGUCGGAUUAGCUAGUUGGCGGGGUAAAGGCCCACCAAGGCGACGAUCCGUAGCUGGUCUGAGAGGAUGAUCAGCCACACUGGAACUGAGACACGGUCCAGACUCCUACGGGAGGCAGCAGUGGGGAAUAUUGGACAAUGGGCGCAAGCCUGAUCCAGCCAUACCGCGUGGGUGAAGAAGGCCUUCGGGUUGUAAAGCCCUUUUGUUGGGAAAGAAAAGCAGCAGGUUAAUACCCCGCUAUUCUGACGGUACCCAAAGAAUAAGCACCGGCUAACUUCGUG
This 492-nucleotide ribosomal RNA is filed under the name uncultured bacterium. RNAcentral's name for it is "partial 16S ribosomal RNA". It matches the Rfam family "Bacterial small subunit ribosomal RNA", at positions 29 to 507 of the family's 1533-position model. The record is from RNAcentral.